UACGAAGGUCCCAAGCGUUGUUCGGAAUCACUGGGCGUAAAGGGAGCGUAGGCGGCGUGGUAAGUCAGAUGUGAAAUUCCGGGGCUCAACCUCGGAACUGCAUCCGAUACUGCCAUGCUAGAGUGGUGGAGGGGCAUCUGGAAUUCACGGUGUAGCAGUGAAAUGCGUAGAUAUCGUGAGGAACACUAGUGGCGAAGGCGAGAUGCUGGACACCUACUGACGCUGAGGCUCGAAGGCCAGGGUAGCGAAAGGG
RNAcentral lists this ribosomal RNA (253 nucleotides) under uncultured bacterium. Its description in RNAcentral is "partial 16S ribosomal RNA". It matches the Rfam family "Bacterial small subunit ribosomal RNA", at positions 524 to 776 of the family's 1533-position model. The record is from RNAcentral.